RNAcentral lists this ribosomal RNA (1499 nucleotides) under uncultured bacterium. RNAcentral's name for it is "partial 16S ribosomal RNA". It matches the Rfam family "Bacterial small subunit ribosomal RNA". The record is from RNAcentral.
AGAGUUUGAUCCUGGCUCAGAUUGAACGCUGGCGGCAGGCUUAACACAUGCAAGUCGAGCGGUAGCACAAGGGAGCUUGCUCCCUGGGUGACGAGCGGCGGACGGGUGAGUAAUGUCUGGGAAACUGCCUGAUGGAGGGGGAUAACUACUGGAAACGGUAGCUAAUACCGCAUAACGUCGCAAGACCAAAGAGGGGGACCUUCGGGCCUCUUGCCAUCAGAUGUGCCCAGAUGGGAUUAGCUAGUAGGUGGGGUAAUGGCUCACCUAGGCGACGAUCCCUAGCUGGUCUGAGAGGAUGACCAGCCACACUGGAACUGAGACACGGUCCAGACUCCUACGGGAGGCAGCAGUGGGGAAUAUUGCACAAUGGGCGCAAGCCUGAUGCAGCCAUGCCGCGUGUGUGAAGAAGGCCUUCGGGUUGUAAAGCACUUUCAGUCGUGAGGAAGGUAGUGUAGUUAAUAGCUGCAUUAUUUGACGUUAGCGACAGAAGAAGCACCGGCUAACUCCGUGCCAGCAGCCGCGGUAAUACGGAGGGUGCGAGCGUUAAUCGGAAUUACUGGGCGUAAAGCGCAUGCAGGUGGUUUGUUAAGUCAGAUGUGAAAGCCCGGGGCUCAACCUCGGAAUAGCAUUUGAAACUGGCAGACUAGAGUACUGUAGAGGGGGGUAGAAUUUCAGGUGUAGCGGUGAAAUGCGUAGAGAUCUGAAGGAAUACCGGUGGCGAAGGCGGCCCCCUGGACAGAUACUGACACUCAGAUGCGUAAGCGUGGGGAGCAAACAGGAUUAGAUACCCUGGUAGUCCACGCCCUAAACGAUGUCAACUAGUUGUUGGGGAUUCAUUUCCUUAGUAACGUAGCUAACGCGUGAAGUUGACCGCCUGGGGAGUACGGUCGCAAGAUUAAAACUCAAAGGAAUUGACGGGGACCCGCACAAGCGGUGGAUGAUGUGGAUUAAUUCGAUGCAACGCGAAAAACCUUACCUACCCUUGACAUGCCACUAACGAAGCAGAGAUGCAUUAGGUGCUCGAAAGAGAAAGUGGACACAGGUGCUGCAUGGCUGUCGUCAGCUCGUGUCGUGAGAUGUUGGGUUAAGUCCCGCAACGAGCGCAACCCUUGUCUCUAGUUGCUACGAAAGGGCACUCUAGAGAGACUGCCGGUGACAAACCGGAGGAAGGUGGGGAUGACGUCAAGUCCUCAUGGCCCUUAUGGGUAGGGCUUCACACGUCAUACAAUGGUGCAUACAGAGGGUUGCCAAGCCGCGAGGUGGAGCUAAUCCCAGAAAAUGCAUCGUAGUCCGGAUCGUAGUCUGCAACUCGACUACGUGAAGCUGGAAUCGCUAGUAAUCGUAGAUCAGAAUGCUACGGUGAAUACGUUCCCGGGCCUUGUACACACCGCCCGUCACACCAUGGGAGUGGGUUGCAAAAGAAGUAGGUAGCUUAACCUUCGGGAGGGCGCUUACCACUUUGUGAUUCAUGACUGGGGUGAAGUCGUAACAAGGUAACC